Leopardus geoffroyi (Geoffroy's cat) is the source of this 638-nucleotide long non-coding RNA. RefSeq lists it as uncharacterized. The transcript has 3 exons. The record is from RefSeq and is a predicted model, not a curated record. NCBI's taxonomy places the organism in Eukaryota, Metazoa, Chordata, Mammalia, Carnivora, Felidae.
GGCGCAGCAAGCUCAGCCCGCCCCCGUCUGUCCCGCCCCUAAUCGCACAGCAGAAGUUCGUUUGGUUUUCGGCUCCGCCCGCCUUUCUGAAGAGAAAGUGAGGAGGCAAAUUCGCUGUUUUCUCAGUCCUCCUCCUCCCGCCCCCUCGAGUCACGUGAUCCAUUUGGUCCGGCCUUUCCGCACCGGACUUCAACACUUGGCCGCAGGAGCCAGCUGCGGCACCUGCCGGGGUGUUGUAUCACAGUACCUUCAGUUUGUUACCGGCUGGGCAAUAUUUUCAAUUCUUUUUAAACGUUUAUUCAUUUCUGAGAGACAGAGAAAGAGAGCAAGCAGGGGUGGGGCAGAGAGGGAGGGAGACACAGAACCUGAAACAGGCUCUAGGCUCCGGAGCUGUCAGCACAGAGAUGAUGACCUGAGCCUAAGUCGGAUGCUUAACUCACUGAGCCACCCAGGCACCGGUGGGCAAUUUCUGAAUUCCGCUCUUUGUCCUUCCACCUGGAUGAGUUUCUUCCUCCGCAGGUCAAAAAAGGCCCCUUCAAGCUUAUUCGUUUGUUCAGCAAAUACUAUUAUGUAUCUGGAGCUCUAUUGUGGGCUGGAUUUACGAAGAUGAACAUGGCAGGUAUCUAUGAAAGUCUGGC